GCCUGCUGUCAUGAUUCACUCUCCAGCAUUGUCCCGCCCACAGCACCAUCUCAUCUGAUUGGUUACACACAGUGCCACGGCAGGGCUAACAGCCAAUCAGCAGUGAAAGCUCAGCACCCAAAGUGGCCUCGCAUACACACAGAGCAGAGUUUUUUUCUGAGCCCAACGCGUCGUCCCUACCGACGUGGAAAUCUACGAUGUGGCUGGCAAGGCGCUCAGCCACCGCUGCACUGCUGGCCGCGAUCAGCCGGCGGGACAUCAGAUCAAAGGGACCCCCUGGGCGACACAAGACGAGAGGAAGCACAGUGUCAGCCGUUUGUUUCGACGCUUUAUCUCCUCCCAUGUUUGGCCUCGGUGUGGUCGAGUGGCACGCGCAGACGCCUCUUUGAAGUUCACUAACAAUGCCUGACGUCAAAUUUGAACAAGACUGGCUCGAUGGGUUGCAAGGCAUGUCGGUGACGGUGCCCUUGAAGCAAGCUAUGUUCAUUGAGGGCAUACUGAAGGUUGGGAAGAAAAAAAAAAGAGAUAGCAUUGUCGUCUUCCUAAUGGUAGCCACAGCUCAUUAGAUCCUGCGGGUGUGCCUAAUUUUGUGGUUGGGAUUAGUCAAGACACUUGGAAAAAUAACUUUUGACCAUAGUUCCCAUGAAAGACAAAUAAUAUGAUUCGUGUGGAAAAAAACAAAACAUUACAUUUGGAAAACUACUUGGAAUAAGGGUCAUACUGACAAGGGGGGAAAACAAGUGUAUAUAUAUUUUUAAGCAUGUCACACAAAACAUUUUUUCCAGACAAAUGUUCACUUUUUUUUU
Long non-coding RNA from Hippocampus zosterae (dwarf seahorse), 806 nucleotides. RefSeq lists it as uncharacterized. The record is from RefSeq and is a predicted model, not a curated record. Lineage: Eukaryota; Metazoa; Chordata; Actinopteri; Syngnathiformes; Syngnathidae. The transcript is spliced from 2 exons.